This is a long non-coding RNA of Cataglyphis hispanica, 439 nucleotides long. RefSeq lists it as uncharacterized. The record is from RefSeq and is a predicted model, not a curated record. The transcript is spliced from 3 exons. Lineage: Eukaryota; Metazoa; Arthropoda; Insecta; Hymenoptera; Formicidae.
UGAUCGAUGACGAUCGUUUCCUUCGACGCGAUCAUCAUCACGGAUGCGGAUCUCUCUCUUCGAUUUCCUGCAUCUUGGGGAGAAGGAGAAGAUGACUGACCUGUUUUCUUUUUCUCUUCGGUCAAUUGAUCAGUGCGUUCAUCAACCAGGGCUUCAAGAUUAUUCGCAUAUUUUUCCAUCAUCGCCAUCAUAUUGUCAAAGAUAUUCGCUUUCCUGCAAAAAUAUUGCAAGCAAGUCGUGUCCACAUUUUCAAUCACGAUGAAUACGAGAAAUGGAUUGGACAUCUCAGGAAUAAAACUCGUUGCAUCGCAAGAGAAUUGUUGCUUCUUUUGCACCGUAAUGAGUUCCGAUCGAUUCAUUAAUUGGCAUUAACAUAUAUAAUCAGCAAAGUGCUUUUAUGUUACCGUAUGAAAGUUUUCUUUCCCCUUUUCCAGCAAUA